UACGUAGGGUGCAAGCGUUGCUCGGAAUUACUGGGCGUAAAGGGCGCGUAGGCGGAAUGGCAAGUCGGUCGUGAAAUCCUUCGGCUCAACCGAAGAACGUCGAUCGAAACUGCCGUUCUUGAGGAUUGCAGAGGAGACUGGAAUUCCCGGUGUAGCGGUGAAAUGUGUAGAGAUCGGGAGGAACACCGGUGGCGAAGGCGGGUCUCUGGGCAAUUCCUGACGCUGAGGCGCGAAAGCGUGGGGAGCAAACGGG
Molecule: ribosomal RNA, 253 nt
Filed under: uncultured bacterium
Lineage: Bacteria
Description: partial 16S ribosomal RNA
Rfam family: Bacterial small subunit ribosomal RNA
Source: RNAcentral